GCCAUAGCCAAGAUCCAGAUCAAUGUCUGAUUGAUGUCUGAUACCUUGGACCUCCAAACUUGGGGCCAAAUAAAGGGUUUAUUUUAAAAAAUAAAAAAAGAAAGAGAAGCCUUGGAAGAGAAAUGCAGAUAAAAUGAACAGUGAAAGGUCAUGGCCUUGUUUAGCCAUCAUCAUGGAAACUUCUUCCUGCAACAUAUGGAAACAACUAUAGAGACCCUCACCCACACAUUAUGAAGAGAAUGAAAGACUUUGGAACAUUCAUCCCAAAACAUGAUGUCUCCAUCAAAUCCCUUCCCUGAGGGUUAAGGAAACCCUGUGGAAGAGAAGACAUAAAAAGUGAACGGGGGUGUCUCUGGCUCUGUUGCCUGCCUCUCCUAUCUUGGCUGUGUUGUGUAGACUCAAAAGGAGAAGAUGCCUCUAGUCUUGGUGCACCUUAAUAUUCCAAGAAGGAAGACAACAUGGAUACCAUCGAAAGAGCUGCAUGGCUGAGCUUCCCAAGAGUGAAUUCAGCACUCAGCAUAUGGAGGGAGUGCUCCUCAUGAUUCUUCACUACACAAUAAACUUUAAUGACAAUGUCGCACAUCUUAAAUGUAA
Rattus norvegicus (Norway rat) is the source of this 594-nucleotide non-coding RNA. NCBI's taxonomy places the organism in Eukaryota, Metazoa, Chordata, Mammalia, Rodentia, Muridae. The record is from RefSeq and is a predicted model, not a curated record.